This is a long non-coding RNA of Juglans microcarpa x Juglans regia, 258 nucleotides long. RefSeq lists it as uncharacterized. Lineage: Eukaryota; Viridiplantae; Streptophyta; Magnoliopsida; Fagales; Juglandaceae. The record is from RefSeq and is a predicted model, not a curated record. The transcript has 2 exons.
GUGCUAGCUAGAGGACAAUGGCCUCAACACGCACAAUCUAAUCUGCAAUCACCAAAAUGAAGACUAUCUCGCUCAUUUGCUGCAUUCUCCUGACUUUCCUUCUUUUCUCGUCCCCUUCAAUUAUGGCUCGUGAAUUGGCUGCUCAUGAUCAUGAGGCCGGUGUUCAUGCAGGUUAUAAUGGUGGCCAAGCCGGGGAUCCCAACAAGCAUUUAAUAUGCGGAAAGCGUGGGGACAAUCCCGCGUAUAGCAAAUGCAUAG